This is an RNA transcript of Dendrobium catenatum, 7057 nucleotides long. RefSeq lists it as uncharacterized. The record is from RefSeq and is a predicted model, not a curated record. NCBI's taxonomy places the organism in Eukaryota, Viridiplantae, Streptophyta, Magnoliopsida, Asparagales, Orchidaceae. The transcript has 5 exons.
UUUAUCGGUUUAAAAUUUAAUAAGAGGAAAAUUUAAAAUUAUCAAUUCAUCCUCUCUCUUGGUUAGCCGCUGGGAUAUAAGCUUAGGUCUAACAACCUAAUUCAUAUUGAACAAGUUUCAACAAGGGGAACAAAAACUAAUUACCUAUACGCGGGGAAGUAAGUGUUUUUUUUUUCAGCAGGUGCCAGAGACCCUUAAACGCUCAUGUAGCGUAGUGGGGAUUGAAGAAAAUACAGCCGCGGUGUCACUCGACAUCUACCUGAAGCGCUCAUGUGGUGUGGAGGGGAAGGCUGUCUCUUGGUUUUUCCCCUAAACAGGGGAGACGUCGGGCAGCUGCCGAAUUCAGAAAAAAUACAUGGGACUUGGACUGAGUUGAUUUUGAACUUACAUGAACUACAAGGACUUGAUUUGAAUUUGCAAUUUGGACCACAGAGAAUCAAACCUUAAUUAACAAAAAAAUGUACUCAUGCAAAUGUUAAUCAAAGAUUGAGAUCUUUUUAAUGAACAUCAAAUGAGACGAACAAGUAACAAUGAACCCCAGGAGACUACAAAUGAACCUGAACUCAAGUUGGAUCAUAGAAGGCUGAAUGAACUUCAACAUGAUUCAAAGAAUUUGAACUCAACAAGAUCACCUUGAACUGAGCAUUAGGUGAACUGAACUCGAAUUGAACUUGGACUCAAACAAAUGAGCAUAGGGAAUCAAGCUUAACUUGAAAUGAAUUUAUAUAAUAAUGAAUUGGGCCUUAAGUUUACAAUUGUACAGUAAAUUGAAAGUACAAAAUGCUAAGUUAUAAUUCGAUCCAUUCUAGUGGAAGUUAAUAUGUAGAUAAAGGUUGUGGACAACUUCAAUGAACAAGUGAAAUACUUGUAGUGGACAAUAUUCCAAAAAUAAUUUAUAUUGAAACAUGGAACUCGUGGCAGGAGGUCUUCAUAUAUAAGUGACAUAUAAGUGAAUAUUUUAGUUCCUUACAAAUAUUGAAAACUAAUGAGAAUGAGCGGACAUAGAACUCAUGAUGAACAAGAAUUCAAGCAUCAUUUGAUUUCAAGCAAUCAUCAAUAAAAAUCAAGGACAUGUGAUCUACUUGCAAGCAUUGAUCCGCAGAAACCAAAGAGAAUGCAACAAUAUAAGUGUAGAUGAUCAUACAAAUUUUCCAACAAAUGAAUAAUGUGAGACUCAUAGUGCUCAAGUCAAUCAAUCUAUAAGUAAGGAAAAGGAACCUAUAACACAAUUAUCAAUCCCGAAGGUGAAAAUCAAGGACUUGUGAUAAUAUUAACCAUGAUCUUACAAACAGAUGAAAGAAAGAUGUGGACAUGAUAUCAGGCAUACCACUGAUGUUGGUCAACUUGUGGAAGAUAUGUAUGUCACAUAUACAUGUGAAAAGGAACAUUUAAGGAAUGUGAAAGGUGCCCUCGUAGCCGACACCAAUCAGGAAUCUAUUAAAUGCAUGAGUUCCUUAUAGAUGAAGGAAAAGUGGCAUGCAACGAACAGUCUCCCUGUACAAAGCGACAAAUAACUCAAUCCACAAGUUGCUACAACACGCCACCGGAUCCGCAACAUCCAUGCAAGUGGACAGAAGGCGUUUACAAAUAUUCCAAAAAUGCCCCUUGGACAUGAACUAUAAUAUGUAUACACUUGGGUACAGAAAAGGCAUGUGCAAUCACACAACCCGUAUGGGCUCCGACAAGCAUGUUGUUGGAACACGCGUGAUGUUUAGGGAUGCUGCGCAGGUUAAUAAAUUUGAACCCGAUCCUUCUAUGCAUCUAAAUAGGAGUCAAUAAGGUUCAACAAAUAAUUAUAAAAUGCCCCCAAAUACCCACAUGGCCCCCGACGAGCGUGUUAUUGGUACACAAAUCAUGUUUAAGGAUGCUACACGGGUCCAUAAAUGAACGUAAUUCGAGUCCAAUCCUUCUAUAGGGAUAGAUAGGAGUCGGAACGGCUCGGAUUAUCAAACAGAUAUACGGUUAGGGUGUCGAUCGGAAUAUUUAUUUAAUACGUUCAUAUAAGGCCUUCAAAGCCUACAAUAAAGAAAAUUCAUUAACAAAAUCGUAAAGCCAGCAACGAGCCUCUGUCAACAGCUUGACAGAGUUGACGAGGUUUAAGCCACAAAUAGAAAUGACCCCCAAACACUCCGAUGAUGGCCGUGUUGAACGUAGAUCUCAACCGAAGGGAUUAAUUCCAAAUAUUUAAAUGCUUUCCAAGUUCCACCCAAAUGCUUACCAAAAUUUAAAAUAUCCAAAAAUCAUAAAAUUCCAAAUGUUUAAAAUCGAAAUUCAACCAUCAAUCACUUAAAACAAAAUCCAUCCACCCUCCGUAAUAGUUUGUAGAGGUAAACAAAUUGAAAUGUACUUUAGCUCACAAAGAGUUAAUAUUUGGUCGAGAAUAUCACUAGGACCUAUUCUCAAACAAUCUCCUACUAGUAAUGACAUGGUACAUAUCCUCUAACUGGUAGUCUCGCCACCAAAUGGCAUCACAGGUAAACAUUUAUGACUCGGGGCCCUUUGAAUUAAGUGGUUUUGUCGUUAAAUGACACCACUAAAUUAUGGUUAUGUUCAGAGCCAAUACGUUCUUUAGUGACAUCAAAACCUUGAGAUAUGAAUCAAUAUGAUAUAGUUGAUAGGGCACAAAGCUCUCUGUUAGCUAAGGUAGAUUCAAAUUUGUCCCCUUAGACAAAUAUCCACCGCAGAUCUACAAGGUACUCUGUAACGAAGCAACCCAUGGCUGUCGACAAGGUUCCUUUUAUUAGGUUGGGUCGACUACCUUCUCUGACUAAGUAUACCAGGGACCACGAUGGCCCGGGACGACGGAGCCAUGAAAUCUUGAUCGUGUCCAUUAUCAAUUCCCCCAUCAUCCGCUUUAAGUGCAAGAUGGUGAAAUUUUCAAUUUUAAAUAUUAACCCUUCCAAUUCCAAAUUCCCAUUGCUGUUACUAUAUGACAGAUAACAUGUGUUCCUACGUAUCUGAUUGAUGACUAACCCUAAUAGAAAGUUCUCUCUCGUUACCGGGAGUGGUAAUUAACUAUAAGGGGUUUUGCGCCUAUAGGAAACCAGAACUCAGAUCAUAAAGUCCUCGCAAAAUGAGGGCGAAAUCUCUGGGUAGCGUCUUAUCUACUUCAAACCCGUCUACCUUCCAAAAUUUAUCCCGAAAGUUAAUUCAUUAAAACUCUCCCGAAAAAGCAACGGGGGAGGAUGUGGCCGAAUUUUUAGAGCUCACAGACUCAUGAUUGAUUGUCCAGUUGUUUGAAGAAUUACGCUCAACUUUAUCCCUUGGGAGGGGGGGGGGUAUGCAGGCAAUCAUCUGGGUGCAAUCAUUUUGAUAUUGGAGCCUGAUUUAUCAUCUUCCACUUUAUGAGUUUAAAGAUGAGGUGGAGAUUGUUGAUUUAAAAUUAUUUCCAAAUUGAAAUAAGCUUUUAUUUGGAAAGCUUUUAAUGGCUCAUUAUUGUAAUUGAUCAGGUAAUUAAUUAUUUUCAUAACUAAGUUGAUUUGAUUUGAGAUACAAUUUGAUAUUCAAUUGGAGAUUUGAUUGAUGCAUUAAUUAUGGGAUCUAUUUAUUGCAUUAAUUAGGAAUUUGAUUGAGAUUUGAUUAGAAAUAGAUUAUGAAAUUUUUUCAUAAUUUAUUUUGGCUCAAAUCUAUAAAUUGAGCCAUGAGGGUUGCUGUUGUAUGAGUGGAGGGUUGCUGUUGUAUGAGUGGAGGGAGAGAAGAGCUCAUUGUAAUUCCCUUAAUCAUCAUCCCCUCUCCGUGGACACAAGCAUCUUCGCCGAACCACGUAAAUCAUCGUGUUUAUUAUGUUUGUGUUGUGUGAUUUCUGUGAUUUUAUUUUUGCUGUGUUUGUUUGCAUAACACCUAACAACAGGAAUGAGCAAUAGAAAAUUCUUUGUAUAUAUAUCCCUGUAGGUAGCCUCCCUUUCUACAUAUUACCUACUUUAUAUUUCACCUGUUACCUUCCAUUCCUUCACUAGAAGUGCUGUAACCAACUAAAACUUAAAAAAAAAAUACAGAAUAACAGUAAAGGUAAAAAGCUGCAUAUUAAGAUAAACGGUGUGUGGAAUUGUUACAGUGAUGGUGAGAUGUACACCACAUCACUACACCUCACCAUAUCUUGUUAUGCAUCUUGAUCCACAUCACGAAGGGGAAUGCACCUUUCAAGUAUGUGUAUACUCCUUAAGGAAGAAGAAGGGGUAGAAAAGAGAAUAAAGAGGAAAAAAUCAGAAAUAUUUUCAUUCAAUGCCUAUUUCUUACAACAAGUGUAUUUAUAAUAUUUGGGUAGACCAAAUUCACAAUAUAUAACUAGUUUACCGAACCAAACUUAAAAGAAAGAUUAGACUAGCACUUUAUUACAUAUGUGGACCCAUUUGUCAUUUAUGCUUAUGGAAUGUAUUUGUCUUCUUCUUUGGUAAGCUUCCUAGUUGUUGGUUGUCCCACCAUAUUUGUAGCCCAUGCUUCGCAUCUGAUUUUUGGAUCCAAUCCCAUAUGCUGAUGUCUAACACUCUCAAUGCCAUUUAAAAUAACCUUGUCCUCAAUGUUGAGAGAAGGAAAAGGUGAAGAGGGGGAGAAAUUCAGAGUGGCUGUCAUGAAUAGUUUGAUGAACAUUUCUUUAUUACUUAUUGAGAGAGAACGAAAUUGAUGUUUGAAAAAAAACUCUAUGUAAUUCAUCAAAAAAUUCAUGUAAUAUUGGAAUUGGAAAUUUAUCUUUAAUGGUGAGCAUAUUAAGGGCUUUAGAAUUGAUGAAAAAAUUUCAAGUACCAUCCAGUUUAUGAAGAAGCAAUAUUGGAAUAGAAAAAGAGUUGGGAUUAUGAAUAACAUCCUUAUGAAAAUGUGGAGAAUUGUAAUGACGGAUGUUAACUAGUUGAUAUAAGGAUAGAAGAUAAAUAUGAUAGUAAAUGGUCGUUGAAGGUGAUGGUUAUGGAAAAGGGAUUCAUUCGGAGGAACCAAGGAUGCCGGCAGAAGAAGACGAAGGAUCUUGAGGGAGUCGAGGUGGGAGGUCAAUGCACAAACUAUCAAGUUUUUUAUCAAUAGAAUGCUGAAAGUAUGGACAUGUUGAAGUGAUGAGCCAAUGGAGACAAUUUGAACAUUCAUUUGCUGCAGGGAUUUUUGUAUUUCUGAGAAAAGUAAAUUUUGAUUGGUUUGUAAGGUUUGGAUAGUUUUUGCUAAAUCAGCGUUUUUUAUGAUGGGUUAUGGUGUGGGAAAAGAAAAACAAGAAGUGGUCCUUGAUAACAAUGGCUGGUAUAAGGAGAUGCAGUUAGCAGUGCUGCUGUCAGUGAAAAUAAAUUUUUGAUGCAACAGAUUUUGGACUGGAUGUGGCUGCUGGCAGGUUCUUGCGGCUGAAUUCUGCGGAGGGCUGCAGUUGACGGAUGACCUGUAGAGUGGAGGACAACAGGUAGCUGCUGUUGCUGAUGGAGGACCUGCUUGUCUUGAAUCUGUAAUAAUCUGAAAAUUCAGGUAAUAAUCAAUUUAAUUAAUAUUUUAAAUUCCUGUUACGAAAACUAUAUAACUAUUUUAAAAAUUAGGAUAAUUACUCCUUAAUUUCCCAAAAAACGUUUUAUAUGGCUGAAAAAUUGAUGGCAGUUACUUUGUGGGCCCAUUUUAUCCUUAUCUUGGUUGGAAUACACGCAAGCAACAAAAAUUUCCCUUCUCUGUUUAUAGUUUUCACGUAAGCCAUCAGAUGGAACCUGUAAGGAGUUUCGGCACAUAGCGUUUGGCUUAGUGCUUCCUGCAUUGCUACUGUAUUCGAUCAGAGAAAGAGUUCUGCGGCAAAAAUGCUGAAGGGAAAUGGUUGGGUUGAUAGUGCAAGAGGAUUUCAACGCUAUUGACCGGAAGAGAAGUCAGUGAAAGUAGUGUAAUUCGGAUUUCUGUGCAGUGAAGUGCUUGUGGAGAAGAUAUUGUUAGGUAAGAAUUCUAAAUUUUCCUAUCUUUUAUACUAGUUCAAUUCAGUAAAGUUCUUAUGCAAAUCAUAAUUUAGGGUGAUAUAGAUUAUAUAGUCUUAUCCAAAGAGGAGGCUUUGGAGUGAUUUAUAAUAGAAGAAAAGUAAGAAGUGAAGGUUUGGAAGAAGCAAACCUUCAAUAAGGAAAAUGGAAAGAAAAAGUGGAGGAAGAUAGAUAAGUAAGUAUUUAAGUUUUAUGUCAAUGUUUAUUUAAAUUUUGAAAUCUACUCUUGAGCUCUUGAAUGUUCAUUAAAAGUAAUUUGUGUUAAUCUGGUUGCAGCUCUUGAAUGUUCGUUAAGGUCGAUAUCAAUAUUCACUCAGCGUAUACUCAUCAAUCUUGUAUCUGAAGUUGCCACAAAACUUCAAGAUAUUGUUACGUGGUGUAGAAGUUGAGCCUCACCACAUUGUUUUUGAUAUUAACAAGAUGAGAAAUUUCAGUUGUUUUGUUAUAACACGCAUGCUUGUUUUGUUAUACUGACGCUUCUUUCCGUCCCAUCUUUCCACUACUAGGCACCCUUUUUCAGAUUCAGUAAAACAGGAUGCCUCUUCUGAUGGCUUGUAUGAAAGUAACAUACAUUCUGGGGUUUCAAAUGGUGUUGUACUUUCCGCUUCCAUUGUGCUUGCCCAAAAAAAUUUGCGAUAUUAUCUGCUCUUUGAAUGAGGCUUCUGUUGACCUUGCGGAUGAGACUUUUUUUGCAAUUCCAUUUGCAGGAGGAAAGAAAGUCAAAGCUGACCGGGAUGAAUCAUCACCAUAUGCAGAUAUGCUUGCAGCAAAUGAUGCUGCACAACGAUGCAAGGAACUUGGUAUUUCUGCUUUGCAUAUUAUGAUCAGGGCCACCGAGGGGAAUAAAACCAAAACUCCAUGUCCUGGUGCUCAAUCUGCUCUUAGGGCUACUACACACUCUGGAAUGAAAAUUGGGCGCAUUUGUAAGUUGUAUUGUUAAAUUUACUUAUUACAUUCAUGGUGGAUGCGUUUGUUCUGGAGGAAUUAAAGCCUUAAAGAAAUAUUUUUUGCCUUAUAGUUCCCAUCUUACAUGUAUAGGUCAUAAGAAAUUAUUGUAAUACUCACAUAUUCCUAUCUUUUUACAUUUCUCUGUUUAAAGCCAUUGAAAAGCAAAAGCUGAAGUAGAAUUGAAUUUU